AACAAACGCUGGCGGCGUGUCUUAAGCAUGCAAGUUGAGCGGCAAGGGGGAGCGAUCCCCCCUAGAGCGGCGGACUGGUGAGUAACACGUGGAUGAUCUACCCGAGGCAUGGGGAUAGUCACUAGAAAUAGUGGGUAAUACCGAAUACGGUGCGCAUCGUGAGGGUGCGCAAGAAAGGUGCUACGGCACCGGCCUAGGAUGAGUCUGCGUCCCAUUAGCUGGUUGGUGAGGUAAGAGCCCACCAAGGCGAUGAUGGGUAGCCGGCCUGAGAGGGUGUACGGCCACACUGGGACUGAGAUACGGCCCAGACUCCUACGGGAGGCAGCAGCUAAGAAUAUUCCGCAAUGGACGAAAGUCUGACGGAGCGACGCCGCGUGGAUGAAGAAGGCCGAAAGGUUGUAAAGUUCUUUCGUUGGGGAAGAAUAACCAUGGGAGGGAAUGCCCGUGGGAUGACAUGAACCGACGAAUAAGCCCCGGCUAACUACGUGCCAGCAGCCGCGGUAACACGUAGGGGGCGAGCGUUGUUCGGAAUUACUGGGCGUAAAGGGCAUGUAGGCGGUCUUGUAAGCUUGGCGUGAAAGACCACGGCUCAACCGUGGGAUUGCGUUGAGAACUGCGAGGCUUGAGUGACGGAGAGGGAGCUAGAAUUCCUGGUGUAGGGGUGGAAUCUGUAGAGAUCAGGAAGAAUACCAAUGGCGAAGGCAAGCUCCUGGCCGAUGACUGACGCUGAGGUGCGAAAGUGUGGGGAUCAAACA
RNAcentral lists this ribosomal RNA (755 nucleotides) under uncultured bacterium. RNAcentral describes it as "bacterial SSU rRNA". It matches the Rfam family "Bacterial small subunit ribosomal RNA", at positions 28 to 774 of the family's 1533-position model. The record is from RNAcentral.